UACGUAGGGAGCAAGCGUUGUCCGGAAUCAUUGGGCGUAAAGCGCGCGUAGGUGGCUUCGUAAGUCCGUUGUGAAAGUCAAAGGCUCAACCUUUGAAAGCCGAUGGAUACUGCGGAGCUAGAGUACGGAAGAGGCGAGUGGAAUUCCUGGUGUAGCGGUGGAAUGCGCAGAUAUCAGGAGGAACACCGAUGGCGAAGGCAGAUCUCUGGGCCGUAACUGACGCUGAGGAGCGAAAGCAUGGGGAGCGAACAGG
This 253-nucleotide ribosomal RNA is filed under the name uncultured bacterium. RNAcentral describes it as "partial 16S ribosomal RNA". It matches the Rfam family "Bacterial small subunit ribosomal RNA", at positions 524 to 776 of the family's 1533-position model. The record is from RNAcentral.